UACGAAGGGGGCGAGCGUUGUUCGGAUUUACUGGGCGUAAAGGGCGCGUAGGCGGCCGAUCAAGUCAGGCGUGAAAGCCCCGGGCUUAACCUGGGAAUGGCAUUGGAAACUGGCUCGCUGGAGUGUGGCAGAGGGGGGUGGAAUUCCGCGUGUAGCAGUGAAAUGCGUAGAGAUGCGGAGGAACACCGAUGGCGAAGGCAGCCCCCUGGGCUAACACUGACGCUCAGGCACGAAAGCGUGGGGAGCAAACAGG
RNAcentral lists this ribosomal RNA (253 nucleotides) under uncultured bacterium. RNAcentral's name for it is "partial 16S ribosomal RNA". It matches the Rfam family "Bacterial small subunit ribosomal RNA", at positions 524 to 776 of the family's 1533-position model. The record is from RNAcentral.